This 642-nucleotide ribosomal RNA is filed under the name Phaeocystis antarctica. RNAcentral's name for it is "eukaryotic LSU rRNA". It matches the Rfam family "Eukaryotic large subunit ribosomal RNA", at positions 22 to 672 of the family's 3401-position model. The record is from RNAcentral. Lineage: Eukaryota; Haptophyta; Phaeocystales; Phaeocystaceae.
UACCCGCUGAAUUUAAGCAUAUCACUAAGCGGAGGAAAAGAAACCAACAGGGAUGCCCCUAGUAAUGGCGAAUGAAGCGGGCAGAGCUCACGCCGGAAAUCCGGAGGCCACACGGUUGCCUCCUGAAUUGUAGUCUGGAGAGGUGCCAUCGGUCCCCCUCGGCGCCAAAAUCCCUUGGAACGGGGUAUCGGAGAAGGUGAGAAUCCUGUCAUGCGCCGGAGUGGGACCGUACGAUGUGCUCUCGUAGAGUCGGGCUGCUUGGGAGUGCAGCCUGAAGCGGGUGGUAAAUUCCAUCUAAAGCUAAAUACUGGCGGGAGACCGAUAGCGAACAAGUACCGUGAGGGAAAGAUGCAAAGAACUUUGAAAAGAGAGUUAAAGAGUGCUUGAAAUUGGCAGGAGGAAACCCGGUUGCGCGUGGCAUUUGGCGUGGUCGACUCAGCCGCGCGCGGAGACCUGUAGGGGACCUAACGGCCUCGUGGUCAGCGCGCGCGGUGCACUUCGGCCGCGUCGGUCAGCCGCGUUUCUGUGCGGCCCAGACGGCCGCGGGCAGGGCUUCGGCGCAGCCUGCGGUUUGGGGGUCGCGCGGGAUCUCGGCUGAUGCGCACGGGCGCAACCGACCCGUCUUGAAACACGGACCAAGGA